Molecule: signal recognition particle RNA, 87 nt
Filed under: marine eukaryotic metagenome
Description: Bacterial small signal recognition particle RNA
Rfam family: Bacterial small signal recognition particle RNA
About the family: The signal recognition particle (SRP) is a universally conserved ribonucleoprotein involved in the co-translational targeting of proteins to membranes. Archaeal SRP consists of a 7S RNA and homologues of the eukaryotic SRP19 and SRP54 proteins.
Source: RNAcentral
UGGUCCCUUCGCAACGGCCAGUCGUAAACCCCGCCAGGCCCGGAAGGGAGCAACGGUAGCGAUGAAGUUGUGUGCCGAGGUGUGGCU